This is a long non-coding RNA of Uranotaenia lowii, 319 nucleotides long. RefSeq lists it as uncharacterized. Lineage: Eukaryota; Metazoa; Arthropoda; Insecta; Diptera; Culicidae. The transcript is spliced from 3 exons. The record is from RefSeq and is a predicted model, not a curated record.
CUUCCGGGAAUCUGAAGCAACUAUAAAAGCGACAGUUCGGAGGUAUUCAAAUCAGAAGAAAUUAACUGUUGAAACUGAAAAUGUUUGCAAAGAUUAUUUUAUGCUUAGCCGUUCUUGCGGUGCUUGCAAUUAGUGCAACCCCAAGCCCAGUUCAACCCGAAGAAGUGUCAAUAAGAAAAUUAGUGGUUUUGGACGAUCAAGGGAAGAUUGAUAAGACCAGAUCUUCACAAGAUGAGAAAAUAGUGUGCGUCAAAUCAAUUUGUAUCAAUAUAAAUUCAUUUUGUCCAAAAUAACUAGAAAUAAAAUUAUAUUCUUGAAA